This 253-nucleotide ribosomal RNA is filed under the name uncultured bacterium. RNAcentral describes it as "partial 16S ribosomal RNA". It matches the Rfam family "Bacterial small subunit ribosomal RNA", at positions 524 to 776 of the family's 1533-position model. The record is from RNAcentral.
UACGAGGGGGGCAACUGUUGUUCGGAAUCACUGGGCGUAAAGGGAGCGUAGGCGGGCUUCUAAGUUAGGUGUUUAAUCCCGGGGCCCAACCCCGGUCAGGCACCUAAAACUGGGAGUCUUGAAUAGUGGAGAGGUCAGUGGAAUUGGGGGUGUAGCGGUGGAAUGCGUAGAGAUCCCCAAGAACACCAGUUGCGAAGGCGGCUGACUGGACCAAUAUUGACGCUGAGGAGCGAAAGCUAGGGGAGCAAACGGG